This is a long non-coding RNA of Plectropomus leopardus (leopard coralgrouper), 199 nucleotides long. RefSeq lists it as uncharacterized. Lineage: Eukaryota; Metazoa; Chordata; Actinopteri; Perciformes; Serranidae. The record is from RefSeq and is a predicted model, not a curated record.
UCACAUGCAUGACCAGCACCUGCCAACAUCUGAAUAUUUUGGGAAACCGGAGGCUUCAGUUAUUACUCAGCCAUAUUAACUGGAGUGCAGCAGUGAGGCAGGCCUGGUGCAGAAUCGUCUCCGUACUGCGGAUGAAGGCCAGAAGGACAAACUGUGUGAGAGGAGAGCAAGAGGACGAGGGAGGCACGAACACUGGCAC